AUACUAGCUUCAGCAGCACAUAUACUAAAACUGGAAUGAUACAGAGAAGACUAGCAUUGCCCCUGUUUAUUUUGUCUCCUGAUAACUUGGCAAAGAGGCACCUUUUU
Molecule: small nuclear RNA, 107 nt
Organism: Hemicordylus capensis (graceful crag lizard)
Lineage: Eukaryota; Metazoa; Chordata; Lepidosauria; Squamata; Cordylidae
Source: RefSeq, a predicted model, not a curated record